ACGUGUUGAAUCUUUGAAGAUAGCUUAUUGUGAUAGGCUAAAUAGACUGCCACAAGUCUUACAUGAGCUCACAUUCCUUACAGUGAUGGAAAUUGGUAAUUGUCGAAGCUUAGUUUCUUUUGCAGAGAAUAACUUACCUCCUAAUUUAAAAAAGCUGAGUAUUACAAACUGUGAGAAUUUGGAGUAUUUGGUUGAUGAAAAAGAAGAUAAUAAGAGUAUGAGUAGUACCCUCUGUCUUCUUGAGGAGUUGUCUAUCGAUAAGUGUCCGUCUCUACUGUCUUUGUCAUCGAAGGGGCACAAAAAUAUUUGCAAUCAGCUUCAACUUCUCGAAAUUAACCAGUGCGAAAAGCUGAGUUGCCU
Molecule: long non-coding RNA, 360 nt
Filed under: Gossypium raimondii (Peruvian cotton)
Lineage: Eukaryota; Viridiplantae; Streptophyta; Magnoliopsida; Malvales; Malvaceae
Description: long non-coding RNA (GRAI_LNC007849)
Source: RNAcentral